This 323-nucleotide long non-coding RNA is filed under the name Coffea arabica (coffee). Its description in RNAcentral is "long non-coding RNA (CARA_LNC002892)". The record is from RNAcentral. Lineage: Eukaryota; Viridiplantae; Streptophyta; Magnoliopsida; Gentianales; Rubiaceae.
GUCCAAAAGGUGAAUAGUUGUCAUAAGCUUCAACCAAUGGAAGUGUGACACUUGUCACUCCAUUAAAUGCAUUUCUAUCCUUUUGUUUCCUCUCACAUCAAUCACAUCUCAUCCUCUACUUAUCUCUUAACAUCCGAUAAAUUUCCACCAGUAUCCGGAAUUUAACCUAAUUGGUCAAAUUUUUCCGAACUUUUCGCACUCGUGGGUCCCAAGUUCAAAAUACGUUUUUAAUUACUCAAAAACUAACCGAUACUAGAAAAAUCAUUUUAAAACUAUCUUUGCUCAUAACUUUAUCUGGGGAAUUUUUCUAAUCAAGAAAAUGU